UACGAGUGCCUCAAGCGUUAUCCGGAAUCAUUGGGCGUAAAGGUUGUGUAGGUGGUUAUAUUAGUCUUUUGUUAAAUUCUUCGGCUUAACCGGGGGCAUGCAAAGGAAACGGUAUGACUAGAGGAUGCGAGGGGUCUGCGGAACUCAUAGUGUAGCGGUAAAAUGCGUUGAUAUUAUGGGGAACACCAAAAGUGAAGGCAGCAGACUGGAGCACUCCUGACACUGAAACAAGAAAGCGUGGGUCGCGAAUGGG
Molecule: ribosomal RNA, 253 nt
Filed under: uncultured bacterium
Lineage: Bacteria
Description: partial 16S ribosomal RNA
Rfam family: Bacterial small subunit ribosomal RNA
Source: RNAcentral